UACAGAGGGGGCGAGCGUUAUUCGGAAUUAUUGGGCGUAAAGGGCGCGUAGGCGGCCUUUCAAGUGACGGGUGAAAUCCCUCGGCUUAACCGAGGAACUGCCUGUCAGACUGGAAGGCUUGAGACCGGGAGAGGUGAGUGGAAUUCCCAGUGUAGCGGUGAAAUGCGUAGAUAUUGGGAGGAACACCAGUGGCGAAGGCGGCUCACUGGACCGGAACUGACGCUGAGGCACGAAAGCGUGGGGAGCAAACAGG
This 253-nucleotide ribosomal RNA is filed under the name uncultured bacterium. RNAcentral describes it as "partial 16S ribosomal RNA". It matches the Rfam family "Bacterial small subunit ribosomal RNA", at positions 524 to 776 of the family's 1533-position model. The record is from RNAcentral.